RNAcentral lists this ribosomal RNA (429 nucleotides) under Bacteroidota bacterium. Its description in RNAcentral is "Bacteroidetes bacterium partial 16S ribosomal RNA". It matches the Rfam family "Bacterial small subunit ribosomal RNA", at positions 355 to 776 of the family's 1533-position model. Lineage: Bacteria; Pseudomonadati; Bacteroidota. The record is from RNAcentral.
UAGGGAAUCUUCCGCAAUGGACGCAAGUCUGACGGAGCAACGCCGCGUGAGUGAAGAAGGAUUUCGGUUCGUAAAACUCUGUUGUUAGAGAAGAACAGCGCAUAGAGUAACUGUUAUGCGUGUGACGGUAUCUAACCAGAAAGCCACGGCUAACUACGUGCCAGCAGCCGCGGUAAUACGUAGGUGGCAAGCGUUGUCCGGAUUUAUUGGGCGUAAAGCGAGCGCAGGCGGUCAAUUAAGUCUGAUGUGAAAGCCCCCGGCUCAACCGGGGAGGGUCAUUGGAAACUGGUUGACUUGAGUGCAGAAGAGGAGAGUGGAAUUCCAUGUGUAGCGGUGAAAUGCGUAGAUAUAUGGAGGAACACCAGAGGCGAAGGCGGCUCUCUGGUCUGUAACUGACGCUGAGGCUCGAAAGCGUGGGGAGCGAACAGG